AAAGUACUCCCUCCAUGCCAAAAUUCUUGUCUUAGAUUUGUCUAGAUACGGAUGUAUCAAGUCACAUUUUAGUAUUAGAUACAUCCGUAUCUAGACAAAUCUAAGACAAGAAAUUUGGGACAGAGGGAGUAGUUG
Molecule: non-coding RNA, 135 nt
Organism: Triticum aestivum (bread wheat)
Lineage: Eukaryota; Viridiplantae; Streptophyta; Magnoliopsida; Poales; Poaceae
Source: Rfam